UCACUUUCUGUUGUCGUUGUUACACUUCUUCUGUUGUUUAGUCUCUCUUAUUAGUCUGAUACGAAUCUCUUUGACUUUCCUUUUUUUCUCCCCUUUUGUUUGAUUUGAUCUAUAAAAUGCUCCCCAGCUGAGUGUACCUUAGUGCUCCAUAUCUUGAUAAGAUUAUAAGUAACCAAUCACCCAUUCAUUAGUCCCUGAAUCUCUAAUGCUGUCAGAAUGAAAGUGAAACUGUUACAAAAGAGGUCCAUGUUAAAGGUGCAGUAGGAGAUCUUGGAAAAUGCUAACUUUAGCCUGAUAGCACUGAAAGUGAACGAACCCACCCUUCUUGCAAUCGCCGUCCAAAGCCACGCCCCCUGAAUCCAUAUAUGCUCACAGAACAGAAUACCAGAGACAACAUUACUACAAUAGGCUACAUCCCCAGUACUGCACAUUUCAUAUGCAUCUCUUAUCGUGCGACGUUUGUACUAUUCGACUUUAAGUGCCCUGCGAAGUGGACAUCACCAGAUGUUCUGCCGUGAUUUGUUGUUGGGCGGGGAUGCGCUACGACUGGAAUUGUGAACCGCUGAUCUAUAUCAUGUGUCAUUCACCAGUGAGAAAACUUUAUAUUACAUCUAGUAAAAGUUCUACAAUCCAAGAAAGGAUGUUUGCCUGCCAUGGGUGAACGUGCUGAUGAUGUAUCCUGUCUGCGCGAACCGGGUGUGCAUAGGUAUGCAAAUAUGUAUGUUGACAGGCAGGUAGGAAAGCCAAGUUAAACGCUCGGAUCGAACAUUUCUUUGUCCUACGCCUUCUAAAGAAUACAUAAAUGCAGUUAAAUACAUUUAGACCACUUAACUUAAUGAUUGCCAUUGGGAUGUGAAGAGACUUUCAACCAGCAUAACAAAAAAUGUUUCUGAAGACAAUCCCCUAUUGCACCUUUAAACGUACGUCAUCAUUCAUCCCUUUGUGAAUUCCCUGCACUCUGCACUAUUAUCACUUUGAAUUUUAUUCUGACUGGAGCCAAAGGCUGCUCACACCGAAGCCUCUUUGUGCUUUUGCUAGAUGGGAGCUGUCCUGCCAUCAGGGCAUUGCUAAAAUCUCUUCAGAACAGAGCACAUGAGACACACUGAGUGGCAAUAAUGGCACAGUAGGUUGACUCAAGAUUGAGUAGAAAAAGCAGGAGAAUGGAUAGAGUGAAAGAGACAGAGCUCACAACAAAAACAAGCGUGUGCUGUUCGCUCUGUCUGAUCACACAGUCAAGACUUGUGUGUGCUUUAACUCACGCGCCUGGUCCAUGUCCUAAGGUAAAGAACCCCCUUCCUAACUCGCAUAGGAGGAGGGGCGAAUCUAAUACUCUGUUCAAAUGUCAGUUUUCAGUUGUUGCUGUCCACUUCCCCAGUAACAUGUGCUAAUCUAUUAACUUCAUUUGGGAAAAAAUAUGAACACAGUCCUCUUUGGAAGGGUUGUUGGCCUCAGUGUUUCACAGAACUGACUCAAAGAAUUCAUGAAAAAUUCCUUGGACAUUUCUGGGAGUCCAUUGGGUGUGUCCUGUUAAUUUGCCUCUAAUACAACAUUACAUUACAUGACUCUAUUAUCAGCACAAUCUAUGUUGAAAAAACAAACCAUUCUACAGUCGUUGACCAAACUCAGCCCCAAAACUCAGUUUUGCAAUGACCUGUCCUUGAAAAAACAUACUCUGUGAACCUAUGCUAGAGCAGUUCUGAGGAAAGUGACCCAACAGUUCUUGUUUAGACCCAUACCAGUGUUUUGUAUUUAAGUUUUCAGCACUGGAACAUUUGGUUUAAAUUUAUAAGAUACUUUAAUUUAUUAAAUUAAAUUCUGCCAGUGUUUUGAUUUUUGUAAACUUGAAGUAGGCCAAGUAGACCUCUGCAGUAAUGAAUUAGAAAAUGUAGCUUUUACACACAGACAAGUGAUUAUGCAUAUGAACUUUGCCUGCUUGACCAAAAAAUAAGACAUACAGCAGCAAAGCUGUUGCAACAACAUUCAUCCAAAACUGCUUGUUUCUCUCUCUCUCUCUUCCUCUCCUUUUUCUAUGUCCACAGUUGAAAAACAUACUGACUCAAGUGUCAGGAAAAAAAACAAGUUGGCCAUCCUCACUUACUAAGAGAAGGAGAGAAUAAAAAAAAAAGAUUGACCCUGCCCUUUGUGUGCAGUCAGUCAGCCUUUUGUCCUCAUUUCUCUCCUUCCAUCUUGGUUUGUUGUUCAGCAGGAAAGAGGGAUCAAAAUAAGUGUGGAAGCUCUUCGCAUGGAGCAACACCCCAUUAAAUGAUGCACAGCAUUAUUUGAUUUUUAGGAAAAUAAUUAUUGUUUGUUUGUAAGAAGAAAUUUGCAACAUUUUUAACAAAAUAUCUGAAUAUUUGUGAAUACAUGUUUUUUUUUAUGCUUUGGGAUGCUCAAAAUGCACACAAAAAAGUAAUGCUAAGAAGGGGGGCAUUAAAUAUACUCACAGAAAAACUUCCACUGUACCCCUUAUUAUGGCUACCUUCUGUUUACUGAAACUGGAAGCUGAGAAAAACCAAUGUCCUGUAUUAGUUUAUGUGAGGAGCUCUGAUAUGUUUAUUUAAUGGAUCUAAAGUGCUCUGUAAAUGUGUGCUGUGUUUAAAAGAACGUUAAAGAAG
Long non-coding RNA from Carassius auratus (goldfish), 2615 nucleotides. RefSeq lists it as uncharacterized. The record is from RefSeq and is a predicted model, not a curated record. Lineage: Eukaryota; Metazoa; Chordata; Actinopteri; Cypriniformes; Cyprinidae. The transcript is spliced from 2 exons.